GAGUGGCGAACGGGUGAGUAAUGUAUCGGAACGUACCCAGUAGCGGGGGAUAACUACGCGAAAGCGUGGCUAAUACCGCAUACGCCCUUUGGGGGAAAGCGGGGGACCUUCGGGCCUCGCACUAUUGGAGCGGCCGAUAUCGGAUUAGCUAGUUGGUGAGGUAAAGGCUCACCAAGGCGACGAUCCGUAGCUGGUUUGAGAGGACGACCAGCCACACUGGGACUGAGACACGGCCCAGACUCCUACGGGAGGCAGCAGUGGGGAAUUUUGGACAAUGGGGGCAACCCUGAUCCAGCCAUCCCGCGUGUGCGAUGAAGGCCUUCGGGUUGUAAAGCACUUUUGGCAGGGAAGAAAAGGUGCCGGUGAAUACCCGGCGCCGCUGACGGUACCUGCAGAAUAAGCACCGGCUAACUACGUGCCAGCAGCCGCGGUAAUACGUAGGGUGCAAGCGUUAAUCGGAAUUACUGGGCGUAAAGCGUGCGCAGGCGGCUCGGAAAGAAAGAUGUGAAAUCCCAGGGCUUAACCUUGGAAUGGCAUUUUUAACUCCCGAGCUAGAGUAUGUCAGAGGGGGGUAGAAUUCCACGUGUAGCAGUGAAAUGCGUAGAGAUGUGGAGGAAUACCGAUGGCGAAGGCAGCCCCCUGGGAUAA
Molecule: ribosomal RNA, 648 nt
Filed under: Caenimicrobium sp.
Lineage: Bacteria; Pseudomonadati; Pseudomonadota; Betaproteobacteria; Burkholderiales; Alcaligenaceae
Description: bacterial SSU rRNA
Rfam family: Bacterial small subunit ribosomal RNA
Source: RNAcentral